CCUACGGGUGGCUGCAGUGGGGAACAUUGGACAAUGGGCGAAAGCCUGAUCCAGCCAUGCCGCGUGUGUGAAGAAGGCCUUCGGGUUGUAAAGCACUUUCAGUGGGGAAGAAAGCCUUGGGGCUAAUACCCUCGAGGAAGGACAUCACCCACAGAAGAAGCACCGGCUAACUCCGUGCCAGCAGCCGCGGUAAUACGGAGGGUGCGAGCGUUAAUCGGAAUUACUGGGCGUAAAGCGCGCGUAGGCGGUCUGAUAAGCCGGUUGUGAAAGCCCCGGGCUCAACCUGGGAACGGCAUCCGGAACUGUCAGGCUAGAGUGCAGGAGAGGAAGGUAGAAUUCCCGGUGUAGCGGUGAAAUGCGUAGAGAUCGGGAGGAAUACCAGUGGCGAAGGCGGCCUUCUGGACUGACACUGACGCUGAGGUGCGAAAGCGUGGGUAGCAAACAGGAUUAGAUACCCGUGUAGUC
RNAcentral lists this ribosomal RNA (465 nucleotides) under Vreelandella stevensii. RNAcentral describes it as "partial 16S ribosomal RNA". It matches the Rfam family "Bacterial small subunit ribosomal RNA", at positions 338 to 795 of the family's 1533-position model. Lineage: Bacteria; Pseudomonadati; Pseudomonadota; Gammaproteobacteria; Oceanospirillales; Halomonadaceae. The record is from RNAcentral.